RNAcentral lists this ribosomal RNA (163 nucleotides) under Saccharomycetales sp. RNAcentral describes it as "partial large subunit ribosomal RNA". The record is from RNAcentral. Lineage: Eukaryota; Fungi; Ascomycota; Saccharomycetes; Saccharomycetales.
CGGCAAGAGCUCAAGUUUAGAAUCUGUGAUCGCUUCGGUCACCGAAUUGUAAUCUAAAGGGGCUAUCAAAAGGGGAAGUCGAGGUAUAAGUUCCUUGGAAAAGGACGUCAAAGAGGGUGAAAACCCCGUAUGCAGCCUCUGCUGAACCGAAUGAUGACCUUCU